This 497-nucleotide ribosomal RNA is filed under the name uncultured bacterium. RNAcentral describes it as "partial 16S ribosomal RNA". It matches the Rfam family "Bacterial small subunit ribosomal RNA", at positions 28 to 507 of the family's 1533-position model. The record is from RNAcentral.
GAUGAACGCUGGCGGCGUGCCUAAUACAUGCCAGUCGAGCGAACGGACGAGAAGCUUGCUUCUCUGAUGUUAGCGGCGGACGGGUGAGUAACACGUGGAUAACCUACCUAUAAGACUGGGAUAACUUCGGGAAACCGUAGCUAAUACCGGAUAAUAUUUUGAACCGCAUGGUUCAAAAGUGAAAGACGGUCUUGCUGUCACUUAUAGAUGGAUCCGCGCUGCAUUAGCUAGUUGGUAAGGUAACGGCUUACCAAGGCAACGAUGCAUAGCCGACCUGAGAGGGUGAUCGGCCACACUGGAACUGAGACACGGUCCAGACUCCUACGGGAGGCAGCAGUAGGGAAUCUUCCGCAAUGGGCGAAAGCCUGACGGAGCAACGCCGCGUGAGUGAUGAAGGUCUUCGGAUCGUAAAACUCUGUUAUUAGGGAAGAACAUAUGUGUAAGUAACUGUGCACGUCUUGACGGUACCUAAUCAGAAAGCCACGGCUAACUACGUG